UAGGCGUUCGCUCUACACCCUUUGUGACAUACCUAUAACUGUUGCUUCGGCGGGCAGGGUCUCCGUGACCCUCCCGGCCUCCCGCCCCCGGGCGGGUCGGCGCCCGCCGGAGGAUAACCAAACUCUGAUUUAACGACGUUUCUUCUGAGUGGUACAAGCAAAUAAUCAAAACUUUUAACAACGGAUCUCUUGGUUCUGGCAUCGAUGAAGAACGCAGCGAAAUGCGAUAAGUAAUGUGAAUUGCAGAAUUCAGUGAAUCAUCGAAUCUUUGAACGCACAUUGCGCCCGCCAGCAUUCUGGCGGGCAUGCCUGUUCGAGCGUCAUUUCAACCCUCAAGCUCUGCUUGGUGUUGGGGCCCUACAGCUGAUGUAGGCCCUCAAAGGUAGUGGCGGACCCUCCCGGAGCCUCCUUUGCGUAGUAACUUUACGUCUCGCACUGGGAUCCGGAGGGACUCUUGCCGUAAAACCCCCAAUUUUCCAAAGGUUGACCUCGGAUCAGGUAGGAAUACCCGCUGAACUUAAGCAUAUCAAAAGGCGGAAGAA
RNAcentral lists this ribosomal RNA (542 nucleotides) under Colletotrichum gloeosporioides. RNAcentral's name for it is "eukaryotic LSU rRNA". The stretch from base 170 to 323 matches the Rfam family "5.8S ribosomal RNA". The record is from RNAcentral. Lineage: Eukaryota; Fungi; Ascomycota; Sordariomycetes; Glomerellales; Glomerellaceae.